Molecule: long non-coding RNA, 5360 nt
Organism: Bombus huntii
Lineage: Eukaryota; Metazoa; Arthropoda; Insecta; Hymenoptera; Apidae
Exons: 4
Source: RefSeq, a predicted model, not a curated record
GAAAGUCGUUAAGAUUUACGAGGGAGGAUAAUCGGGCUACAUUUUUCGAGAUACCAACCAUUCGUUCUUGUAAUCGGUACGACGUGCACGGAAGGUGUUGAGUUAACUUUUUAUGAAAAUCAGUGAGCCGAAACGAGGCUCGUGAAUCAGUUGCAGCGCGCGCUUUUGUUUCGUUCACUCGGAUGUUACUUGUUGCAUUUUCGUGACAUGCUUACACGCUUCUAUCAGGAUACGCCUGAUUACUGAACGUCAUUAUUACGGACCAAGAGAUGAACUGAGACAAAAAGUUCUGCUAUGAAAGCAAAACAGACAAAACGAGCGACUGAAAGUACAAGAAAGGGAAGUGAACGAGGAAGCAGAAAAAGGUAACAAGUAGAAUUCUAUUGAAUAUUUGUAGCUAACUGAGAAGUUUAUGGGAAUAGAAAAGAGGAAUUAUCUACAAAAGGUAAAAUAAAAUAGUACUAGUUUCUCUAUUAUAUAACCAACAUUUCUCAGAUGUAUUCAUCUUCAAGCUUGAUCUUUCAGUGAUACUGUGUGCCACCUGUCUAUAAAAAACACAAAUUCGCUCAAUUUUUCUUCUUAUGUUAUUUAAAGCUAUUAAACUUAAAAGGCAUAAUUAAAGUCAUUGUCAUAUAAUCAAUAAGAAGCGCAAAUAACAACAAAGAACAUAGAUAAAAGAACAUACCUAGAUUGUUUGUUCAACUGAUAAAUUUACUUCGUUAUAAUUUAUAUGCAGUUUAAGAACCAGCCAUAUAUGUCUGCGAGGAAUCGUAAGAAUUUUUACAACGAUUAUUUUCAUGCUAGCUUUGGUUGUGAAUACAAUGUACAAUAUAAAGCACUGUAGUAGGGCCUAGUAUAUAUCUCUGAUUGUGAGAGGGCUAUGCCAUGAAGCUCCAUUUAAUCUAGAGCAAAUACGGGGCGCUUCGCUUAAAUCAAGACAGAGUUAAGGAGAGAGAACAGUUUCCUUUGUCGGCCCUAAUCUGAACAAACAGCCAUAUACCACGAUUGUGUCGUCUAGAAAUUCUUGUUUUAUCCAAAAUUACCCCAGUGGUAGCUACUGUAGAGAAAAAGCAGAGAUACCUUCCUUCAAAACUUUAGUAACGUAUCUUUCAUCGCAAAAGUACUUCCAACCAUAUAUGUUGUGUUUGUAUGAAAGUAAUAACAACAAUAAUUUUUGCACGAACAAUUACAUAUAUGCAUAUGCAAACGAACGUUCGAUGUUUAUACGAGCAUUUACAACUUAGAAACAACAAAGUAAGCGUUCUGAAACAGAAGUUAUUUUAUACAAUUUUUCACAUAAAUUCUAAAUAUUAAUUUAAUUAAAAAAUGCAAAAAGAGAUAUAGAUUGAUGUAAAAUUUCAAAUGAUGAUUCUAUCAAAGAUCAAGACAGUGAUACGAUAUGUAAAAGUAAACGCGAUAUUAUUGAAAAAUAUAAAUAAAUUAAUUUACAUAUCAAAAGUACAAGAAUAAUAAAUACUUUACAGAAUCACUAAACAAAUUGAAGGACCACAAAGUGGCCUAUGAUUUUUAAAAAAGUAAUUUAUCAUAGUGCUACAAAUAUAUCAAUUUCUUCAACUUUUAUAGAAUUACACACACAUACGCACACAGUACCACUGUACCAAUGUAGUAUUAGUCCAAUGUUUUGUCUUGUAGUUUUGCGGUCGAAAACAUGCGUUUCUAGCUGACAUUUCGCUCGUUGAUCUCCCACGUAGAUGACUAUGUCUGAAGACUUUCUCUCAAGUUUCGUGUAUAUAUGAUGUGCGCGUAAUAACGUGCGGACAUAUAGAUAUAACAAAAUUGUACGAGUUUUGAAAAGAACAUCGUGACGGUUCCCAGGCAGCUUUGACGCGACAUCGGUAAAGUCAGGUUGACGUAUAGGCAGUACGGUGCACAAGAAGGAAGAAACGGCAUUUUCUACUUAUCCUGAAAAAAAGCUGCUGGCACUAUCACACGAAGGGACCCCGCUUUGAAAGGUUUUCUUUGCCCGAUCGCAGUGGCGCAGUCUCCAAUUAACGCUUUCCGCAGUGUCAAAAGGCCCGACGACGACGGUGCGUUGAAAAGUGGAUUAAAACGUGCUCCGUUUGCUAUCGCCUUUUACAACGUUUACAGACGCGACCGUAUAUCGAAGCGAUACAUUGUAAUCAACUACAAGUUGUUUUAUUAUACAAAGCGAAGAUAAUAAAGCUGAGUAUUUAUUCAAAGAUAAACUUUGAUAUAUUCUUCUGGCAAAAUUCCAUCAAUCUGACUCCACCUGACCUCACAACGAUGCAAAGGGGUGAAAGUGGAAAUUGUAGUAAGCAGAGGGUGUAGCAUGGUGAGUCUGAAAAUAAGAAGAUAUAGAUAAAAGGAGAUGGUUCCACGUUGGACUAACAAGACUCAGGACCAGGGGCUAUUAUCAUAAUUGUGGGCUGCAGGCAGCGGCUGUGCCCACAAACCAGAAUGGCUCUUGUCUCAUCUACCUUCGUCUUCGCUUUCUUCUUUCUUAUAUUCUUCGUCCUCUCCUCCUUCUUCCUCUUCUUCGCCUCCUUCCUCUUUUUCGCGUCUUUUUACUCAAACUCUUGUACUCUCGCAUUUUGCGCGUCUCUUCGCCGGUCUUUUGCACGUGCUAGAGACAAAUGGAUCGGCCCUUAAGGCAUUUAGCUUUCACGCUACGUAUUUCCAUUUAGAUUAAGAAGCCUAUGCGAUAUUUUAGGAAUACGUUCUUAUCCAAUGAAAUAUGAUUCGGUAUGACUCGGUCCGCAAGUUAUAAGACCUACCUGUAGUUGUGCGUAAUCGUUGAAAUUUAAAAUAAAAUAAAGAAUGUCUUAAAACGAAGAAAGAGACGUUCAAACGUAUUCGAGAAUAUUGAGAAAACCGUAAGUGCAUAUACACAAUAGCAGUGCUUAUUCAGAAACAAUACUAAACUCGAAGAUGCGAUGUCUGCCGACAAGCGUUCUAUUCUCUCUCGUUCUUUACUUUCCUUGAUUACAUGGCAGGCCUAAGAUCUUUCCAAGCUCUGUAUGUACGUUUUGGCUUUCAUUUUAAGAAAUGGUGAAGUAAUACGAGAAGAAUCGACAGGAAAUGUCAGAAGUACACUCCUUUUAAUCCACCUUUGUGAAGAAUAACGGUACCUUUUUUUAUUUUUCAAAACUAUUUUAUUCAAUCUACGUAAUAGCGCUAAUCGUUGUUUUUAAUUUUGCUGUAACAGUAACUGCAUUAAACUUCUCUUACAUAACUCGAUAUUGUAAGUGAAUUUCUCAGCAUGACCUGAUUUCUUCGUUCACCGCACGUACCGAUAGGAAUCAAUUACCAUAGAUUCAAGCAAUGAACUCGUUACGUAAUUAUAAUUUAGUUAUAAUUGCUAACUGAACGAAUUCUCCGAAUCGAUUAUCGAAGACAAUAUACGUCUUCUUCCUUUUCGAUUAAAUCGUGGAUGUUAAGGAAAGAGUGGCGAAGCAAACGUUUGUUAUUCACGAUUGCAAUUAGCAAUUAUGCCAUACCGUUUUACGUUAACGGUUUAUGGACCGUAUUUUACGCUCAAAUAUUACACGUUUAACAUAUUUCUCUUUAUUUCUGACAAGUACAUCGUGUUCUAUCAGGUAUUCGAGUAAGUAUCUUUUGAGAUUACAGCACUGUAAUUUUAAUAAACAUCAGAAUCUAGAUUCUUGUUGGUUCUUUACUCCUGCUGCUUUUUAUUCUUAUCUGAUGGAUUAAAAUUUACGAACGACGUAUACUUCGGUGAAACGAGGCAUGUACUUGAUUUUCUGUUGAAUCUUUCAGUACCUAUCAUACUCCACCUUGCAUCCUUUAAGUGGCGUGGCUAAAUUGUUUCUGCUUCUUUUGUUUUGUUUUACAUUUCUUCUCGUGUGUUCUUUCAACGAGAGAUGCCAGGGGCGUGUAUGUUUGUUUAGCCUCGGUGUACCCUGUUAUUAGGGGCCGGUGCUGCUCGGAAACCAAAAGGCCCACGCGGAUAUUUGGGCCCUCGAGAGAAAGACGAUCGCGCUAUCCUCCGUCCUCUCUUCUCUCGCUCUUUCCGCAGAAUUCGCCUUCUUCUUGUUCCCCUCGCCGUUUGUCUUUCGCUUUAUUUCGUGUGUAAGAGCAGUUAGAGAUGAAAAGGAUAGCCGGAUAAAUUCGAAAGGAGACCUGUUGGUUCUCGGACAGAGUUUUUGCCUACCUAUUCAGAUAUUCUGAUUUAAAUUCUACCGCAUUUUAAUUUAUCGCUCGUGAUCCUACUGAUUACAGAAACACCUAUUCCUAGGAGAGAAAACGAUCCUUGUUGUCGCCUUUAAACGACUAACUACUGGAUACCAAUGGAAAGAUGGAAGUAACUAUGUACAAACUCGUUCUACAAAAUUGUGUCGUUGACACAAAAUUUCUCACCAUGAUAGUUUUAGAUCGAAGACAAUAGAUACGGUGCUUCGUUAUUUAACUAAGUAGCUAUAUUUUAGGAGGCUACAAGAUGUAUUUAACUAACCAUAGUUAGAUGUUGGCUUGCGUUGGGUUUACUUGCUAUAUACGCAUACGUAUAUGCCCCUUUUUCCACGCAAUUCUGUUUUUUCAAUCUGGGGUUGAUUCGUGGGAUCUUUUGAUUCAUCUUUUUCGAUACACAAUGCAUCGCUGACGACAUCCUGCAGAUUCCGCAAUUGAAUGGUGUCUGUUUGUACGGACGCCACGUGACGAAGCGUUAGGGAUAGACCUAACACGCGGCCAAAUAUUCCAUGCUUUAUUUGUUUAAUUUAACAGUAUUGUGACGCGGUGUUUUCAUUAGUUGACGCUCGAUUUAUUUCUUUCGGAUCUAUUUCCUGCAUUUUUAACGUGGGAGAAAGCAGCGAUUCGAGCACAUGUAUACUUUGCGUAUAUACAUAUUAUAUGUACUAGUACCGUGUGAAAAAUCACUAUAGGUAUACUUUCAUCAUUUUAUUCUUUAUAUCAUUUUUCUAUUUUUAUAUGUGUUUACAGUUGUUAGUUGCUCGUGCAGAAGAGAACUAAAUAACAAAUUGCAAUCUAAUACCACCGUUAUGAAAGUUUCUUUAUACAUGUUUAUCAUAAAUAUAUGGUUUUAUUAUGCUAUGCUUCGAAUUCAUUCGUUCAAAUUGGUAUUUAUUAUUUCUACUUAUUGCUGUAUUAAGAUAUUGGCUAAAAACAUUUUCUCGUAAUAGUACCGACUUCAAGUUAUCUUUUUUGAAUUAUUGUUGAUUUCUGAGUAUCGACGUGCACUGCGACAUCUAAUGGUGCACGCGUAGAACUUCUGCAGAUUUCAAAGGAAAAUAAUAAAAUAUAUAUUAUAAAGUAUAAAAAGAUUUCAAGGACCGUCAUAGAAAGAAAAGUACAUUGUAAUAUAUAGUGGUUUUCAAUACCAAUUAUACGUGUUUACGUGUUUG